GUUUUGAUUAAUAACUUCCAAGGAAGAAAAGAAAAGACUUUACAAUGAUGGUUUGUCUUCAGUUAUUCUGAACAAGGAUGGAGUAUGCAACUGAUUAUGAAGCCUGCUGUGAUAGACAUCUCUGUUGACUAGACAGGCCUCCUUACAGCACCUCCCCCCUGCAACAUGUGUUGAUCAUGUACCGUGCCGCGCCAUGCCGGCUCCUCUCAGGCACAUCACCCAUCGCUGCCGGAGCGCACCGCCCCGCUGCCCCAGCACAGCGUGCCACCGGCUCGCUGGUCCUCUUAUAGGCAUGUUUGUGC
Molecule: long non-coding RNA, 302 nt
Organism: Chroicocephalus ridibundus (black-headed gull)
Lineage: Eukaryota; Metazoa; Chordata; Aves; Charadriiformes; Laridae
Exons: 3
Source: RefSeq, a predicted model, not a curated record